GACGAACGCUGGCGGCGUGCUUAACACAUGCAAGUCGAACGAAGAGCGAUGGAAGCUUGCUUCUAUCAAUCUUAGUGGCGAACGGGUGAGUAACGCGUAAUCAACCUGCCCUUCAGAGGGGGACAACAGUUGGAAACGACUGCUAAUACCGCAUACGAUCUAAUCUCGGCAUCGAGGAAAGAUGAAAGGUGGCCUCUAUUUAUAAGCUAUCACUGAAGGAGGGGAUUGCGUCUGAUUAGCUAGUUGGAGGGGUAACGGCCCACCAAGGCGAUGAUCAGUAGCCGGUCUGAGAGGAUGAACGGCCACAUUGGGACUGAGACACGGCCCAGACUCCUACGGGAGGCAGCAGUGGGGAAUCUUCCGAAAUGGACGAAAGUCUGACGGAGCAACGCCGCGUGAGUGAUGACGGCCUUCGGGUUGUAAAGCUCUGUUAAUCGGGACGAAAGGCCUUCUUGCGAACAGUUAGAAGGAUUGACGGUACCGGAAUAGAAAGCCACGGCUAACUACGUG
This 510-nucleotide ribosomal RNA is filed under the name uncultured bacterium. RNAcentral's name for it is "partial 16S ribosomal RNA". It matches the Rfam family "Bacterial small subunit ribosomal RNA", at positions 28 to 507 of the family's 1533-position model. The record is from RNAcentral.